This 468-nucleotide ribosomal RNA is filed under the name uncultured bacterium. RNAcentral describes it as "partial 16S ribosomal RNA". It matches the Rfam family "Bacterial small subunit ribosomal RNA", at positions 28 to 507 of the family's 1533-position model. The record is from RNAcentral.
GACGAACGCUGGCGGCGUGCUUAACACAUGCAAGUCGAACGGCAAGGCCCUGCUUUUGUGGGGUGCUCGAGUGGCGAACGGGUGAGUAACACGUGAGUAACCUGCCCUUGACUUUGGGAUAACUUCAGGAAACUGGGGCUAAUACCGGAUAGGAGCUCCUGCUGCAUGGUGGGGGGUGGAAAGUUUCGGCGGUUGGGGAUGGACGCGCGGCUUAUCAGCUUGUUGGUGGGGUAGUGGCUUACCAAGGCUGUGACGGGUAGCCGGCCUGAGAGGGUGACCGGCCACAUUGGGACUGAGAUACGGCGCAGACUCCUACGGGAGGCAGCAGUGGGGAAUAUUGCACAAUGGGCGGAAGCCUGAUGCAGCAACGCCGCGUGCGGGAUGACGGCCUUCGGGUUGUAAACCGCUUUCGCCUGUGACGAAGCGUGAGUGACGGUAAUGGGUAAAGAAGCACCGGCUAACUACGUG